ACCUCGUUAAAACAGUUGGAAGAGCGUUAGACUUUUAAUCUAACGGUGAGGGGUUCGAAUCCCCUACGGGGUU
This 73-nucleotide transfer RNA is filed under the name Angiostrongylus costaricensis. It matches the Rfam family "tRNA". From Rfam's summary of the family: Transfer RNA (tRNA) molecules are approximately 80 nucleotides in length. The record is from Rfam by way of RNAcentral. Lineage: Eukaryota; Metazoa; Nematoda; Chromadorea; Rhabditida; Metastrongylidae.